This 254-nucleotide ribosomal RNA is filed under the name uncultured bacterium. Its description in RNAcentral is "partial 16S ribosomal RNA". It matches the Rfam family "Bacterial small subunit ribosomal RNA", at positions 524 to 776 of the family's 1533-position model. The record is from RNAcentral.
UACGUAGGGACCAAGCGUUGUUCGGAUUUACUGGGCGUAAAGGGCGCGUAGGCGGCAAUUCAAGUCAUCUGUGAAAUCUCCGAGCUUAACUCGGAACGGUCAGAUGAUACUGCUUUGCUAGAGUGCAGAAGGGGCAAUCGGAAUUCUUGGUGUAGCGGUGAAAUGCGUAGAUAUCAAGAGGAACACCUGAGGUGAAGACGGGUUGCUGGGCUGACACUGACGCUGAGUGCGCGAAAGCCAGGGGAGCAAACGGG